RNAcentral lists this ribosomal RNA (382 nucleotides) under uncultured eukaryote. RNAcentral describes it as "partial 18S ribosomal RNA". It matches the Rfam family "Eukaryotic small subunit ribosomal RNA", at positions 592 to 976 of the family's 1831-position model. The record is from RNAcentral.
UGUAAGCGUAUACCAAAGUUGUUGCAGUUCAAACGCUCGUAGUCGGAAUUUGGCAGUUCCGGAUGUGUGCACGUCGUGUGCGCACUUCGCGGGGAUUGCUUUUGUGGUCUUGCGUAGGAUGAGGCACUUUUAUUAGUGAACGUCCUCACGCAACCACUUUUUACUGUGAGAAAAUCAGAGUGCUCAAAGCAGGCAUUUGCCGUGAAUGUAUUAGCAUGGAAUAAUAGAAUAGGACUUGGUUCUAUUUUGUUGGUUUGUUGGGACUGAGUAAUGAUUAAGAGGGACAGUUGGGGGCAUUUGUAUUUCGGUGCUAGAGGUGAAAUUCUUAGAUUACCGAAAGACAAACUGCUGCGAAAGCGUCUGCCAAGGAUGUUUUCAUUGA